This 1776-nucleotide ribosomal RNA is filed under the name Triticum aestivum (bread wheat). Its description in RNAcentral is "partial small subunit ribosomal RNA". The record is from RNAcentral. Lineage: Eukaryota; Viridiplantae; Streptophyta; Magnoliopsida; Poales; Poaceae.
AUGGGGACCACUGCAGCCUAUCUUGGCCUUGUGCUCUAUGCUAUGCUUAACAGAUCGGGUGACCUAGGCACGGAUGAAGAAUAUCGUAAUUUUUCUAUCAAAGUGUUGGAUGAUUCGAACAAGGGGGUCACUGGAAAAGGCCGUACCUUGGAUGAAGUGAACAAAGUGUUGGAUGAUUCGAGUAAGGGGGCCACUGGAAAAAGCCGUACCUUGGAUGAAGUGAACAAAGUGUUGGAUGAUAUAAUCAAAGCCGUGGAAGAUUUGAAGAAGGCGGCCACAAAUUCAAGUGCGAAGCCCAGUGAUGUCAGUGGAAAAGGCGGUAACUUUGAUGAUGUGAACAAAGGGACCACAGAUUCAAGCAGGAAGUCCAGUUACGUUGACGCCAAAAAAGGUAGCAUGUCGAUGAAAUCAACCACGGGAUUCCGUGGUGUCAAGGGAGUUGACGAAGCAAAAGCUGAGCUCGAGGACUUAGUUCACUACCUAAGGAAUCCCAAGCAUUUCACGAGCCUUGGUGGCAAGCUUCCAAAGGCUGUUCUGCUUGCUGGCCCACCAGGCACAGGGAAAACCAUGUUGGCGAGAGUUGUCGCUGACGAAGCUGGCGUCCCAUUCUUUGCGCGCAGUGGCAGCGACUUCGAGGAGAUGUGGGUGGGUGUUGGGCCUAAAAGAGUUAGGGAGCUCUUCAGUGAAGCAAAGAAGCAAUCCCCUUGCAUCAUAUUCAUCGAUGAGAUUGACACCACCGCUGGGCAAAGGCAAGUAAAUGACAGAAAUGGGGCGAGGGAAACUCUGAACCAGCUGCUCGUUGAGAUGGAUGGCUUCAAGCAGAAUGACGGUAUCAUUGUUCUCGCAGCGACCAACUUCCCACAGUCACUGGAUAAAGCCGUUAUUAGACCCGGGCGUUUUGACCGUCAUGUUCAGGUUCCUAAUCCAGAUGUUGAGGGCCGGCGGCAGAUCCUAGAGGCUUGUAUGUCAAAGGUCAAAGCCAAGGGUGUGGAUCUGAUGAUGAUUGCGAGGGGGACACCAGGAUUCUCAGGUGCAGCCCUUACAAACUUGGUGAACGAGGCUGCUCUGAAGGCUGCCAAGGAUGUGUCGGAAGCUGUUACGAUGGAUCACAUUGAAUAUUCCAAGGACAGGAUCAUGAUGGGCAGCGAGCGCAAAUCGGCGGUGAUACCUGAUAACUGCAGGAACAUGACUGCGUACUACACUGGAGGAAGGGCCCUUGUUGCUAUCCACACGGAUGGCGCUCACCUUAUCUACAAGGCUACCAUUAUCCCGAGGGGAAACUCUCUUGGCAUGGUGAUCCAGAUGCCUGAGGAAGAAGACGCCUAUAAAUUCUCAAGGAAGAAGAUGCUGGCGAAAUUGGACAUCCUCAUGGGCGGCAAGGUAGCCGAGGAGGUUAUAUUUGGAGAGAGCGAGGUGAGCUCUGACGCCCUGUCUGGUCUAAGAGAGGCGACUCAGCUGGCGACAGACAUGGUCACCAAGUAUGGAAUGAGCCAGCGGAUCGGCCCUGUUUGCUACGGCAACAAUGAUGGGAAGCAGACGGCGACCUUGAGUUGGCAAGCGACAGCCCUGGUCGAUGAGGAGGUGAAAGAAUUACUGGUCAAUGCUCGCAAGAACACGGAAAAUAUUAUCACGGCGCACCGCAACGAGCUUAAUGUGCUAGCCGACGCCCUUCUCGAGCAUGGAACUCUCACUGGGGACCAGAUCAAACAGUUGGUAAAUGGUCUUAAACUUGGUAAUGCGCAGAAUCAGGAAACACCAUCUUCAUCCGAACCCUAG